AUAGGGUAAAUCGUUGGACGUAUUAUUAACACUAAGAUUGUUUGUGGCAGCCACACUAUCAAACAGACAGAAAGCAAGGACAAAGUAUACUACUAUAUAUUGAAAUUAAAACUGCAAAUCGUACCACAGCUGAGCAAGUAACUGAGAAAUGUCUGAGUAUUUGGAACCAGGUGAUUUGGUGAUUUUCUAUCGCACAGGAUACAGACAUUGGACAGUGUAUUCGUAUGACGAUCAGGUCAUUAGUUUCACAGAUGAUGGGUGGAUUAGAGAAGUAGAUUUUGAGGUUGCCCAGGAAAACUCGCAAGUGGCAUGGCAAAGCGAUCCUAGGCAAAGACUGAAUGGGCUACAUUUGGCUCUGCUAUUUUAGCAGCUCUCGGGGUGGCAACUGCAGGAGCGGUAGCAGUGGGGGCAGUUGCAGCUACAACAAUAGUGGCAGCAGCAUCCGUUGCAAAUGCUACUCUAUCUUCUAGUACUUACAAACACCGCAACACCGGAGAAGAAAAGAAAAUCUUCAAACGAUCGAAAGACCCCAGAAAGCGCUACAUCAAUUAGAAUAUGUAUUAUAACGUUGUUUCUUUUUCAGUAAAUAUUUAAAUGGCGGUGGUGUACGGCGACUUGCUAUGGUAGUUAUCAUUAAAACUCUUUGGCGCAUGUCUUUGCUAAUAGUCUUAAAUAAAGGUCUAAUUUUGUUUAAUUAUUAGUAAUAAAUUUAAGUUAUAUGGUAAAAAAAAAUUAUUACGGUAGUACCAAAGACUAUUAUGUGGCUAGAUACAUUGUAUAUCGCUAUUAAAGUAUCAAUAUCUCGUGUCGGUCUUUGCUUCAGAUCUUUGUUAUAAAUUAACGAGACUAUCACAGAGGUAGGUCAUUUGUAAAAAAUAAUAAUAAUAAUAAAAAUAAUAAUAUAAUAAUAAUAAAUAUUCUGUCAAAUGACUGUCCUCUUGCUUGUAAAUGUGAGUAAUUCAUUUAGUUUUUUCAUGAUUUGUAUUAUUUGUAAUAGUUAUACCCACACUUUACAAGGUUUAUCGGUGAACAUCCCUACAGUUUUGGUCAUGGGUUCUGACUUAUACAGUGCUCGAAGUUACGAAUUUUUCACCCAUGGCAAUUACAAAAACAAAUUGUUUUAAACUGACUUUUGCAGAAAAUAAAGUUAUCUGAAAGGUUA
Molecule: unclassified non-coding RNA, 1162 nt
Filed under: Gigantopelta aegis
Lineage: Eukaryota; Metazoa; Mollusca; Gastropoda; Neomphalida; Peltospiridae
Description: phospholipase A and acyltransferase 3-like, transcript variant X1
Source: RNAcentral